GACAAACCUCUCUCUGUGACCUCACUACCCAGCCACUGUGACCUAUUUUUCCCCAAGCUUGCCUGGGAUUUUCUCUCAGCUCCUUGGUUCUAGCUCAGUUCUGGCCACCCAGGGGCUCAUGGGAUAUGCAUUGGACAGGAGAAGUAUAGUGUGAGCUACUGGUAGAUGAGGCCUUUCCUUUCAGGGUGUUUUUUUCACUUGAUGCCCUUUUAGCAAGAGAAGCACUGGUGAAUUCUUCAUAUCUUAGCAGUUAAGAGCCACCAGGGGAUUUGUAGAUCCAAAAGUAGACUUCUUUCCUGGGGACAGUAACAUGGUUGCAUGCAUGAAGGGCAACAUAUUAAGGUGGAAAAAAGGAAUAGAUUUACUCUGAAAGCUCAGUAUAUCUC
RNAcentral lists this long non-coding RNA (386 nucleotides) under Bos taurus (domestic cattle). RNAcentral describes it as "long non-coding RNA NONBTAT015779". The record is from RNAcentral. Lineage: Eukaryota; Metazoa; Chordata; Mammalia; Artiodactyla; Bovidae.